GUAGUCCACGCUGUAAACGAUGAGAACUAGUUAGGGGGGGUGUAGACCCCCUCCCUGACGCAGCUAACGCAUUAAGUUCUCCGCCUGGGGAGUACGGUCGCAAGACUAAAACUCAAAGGAAUUGACGGGGGCCCGCACAAGCGGUGGAUUAUGUGGUUUAAUUCGAAGCAACGCGCAGAACCUUACCUGGGUUUGAAAUCCACAGAAUUUUUUAGAGAUAGAAAAGUGCCCGCAAGGGAACUGUGAGACAGGCGCUGCAUGGCUGUCGUCAGCUCGUGUUGUGAAAUGUUGGGUUAAGUCUCGCAACGAGCGCAACCCCUAUUCUUAGUUGCCAGCAUUAAGUUGGGCACUCUAAGGAGACUGCCUGGGUGAACCAGGA
RNAcentral lists this ribosomal RNA (379 nucleotides) under uncultured bacterium. Its description in RNAcentral is "bacterial SSU rRNA". It matches the Rfam family "Bacterial small subunit ribosomal RNA", at positions 790 to 1167 of the family's 1533-position model. The record is from RNAcentral.